GACGAACCGUGCGAACGUUGUUCGGAAUCACUGGGCUUAAAGGGCGCGUAGGCGGGCUCUCAAGUCAGGGGUGAAAACUUUCGGCUCAACCGGAAAAGUGCUUCUGAUACUGGGAGUCUCGAGGGAGGUAGGGGUCGGUGGAACUGGUGGUGGAGCGGUGAAAUGCGUAGAUAUCGGGAGGAACACCAGUGGCGAAGGCGACUUCCUGGCCUGUUCUUGACGCUGAGGCGCGAAAGCUAGGGUAGCAAACGGG
RNAcentral lists this ribosomal RNA (253 nucleotides) under uncultured bacterium. Its description in RNAcentral is "partial 16S ribosomal RNA". It matches the Rfam family "Bacterial small subunit ribosomal RNA", at positions 524 to 776 of the family's 1533-position model. The record is from RNAcentral.